This 1060-nucleotide long non-coding RNA is filed under the name Mytilus galloprovincialis (Mediterranean mussel). The record is from RNAcentral. Lineage: Eukaryota; Metazoa; Mollusca; Bivalvia; Mytilida; Mytilidae.
UCUAUCAGAAUGCGUUUUUUUUAUAUAAUUUUCCUACAGAAUAUAUUCGGAAAUUCUUACGCAGGAAAAUCUUAUCCUACAUUAUUAUAUGUCAUCUAGGUGAGCAAAUCCUCUACAUGAUGAAAAUAGGCAAGAUUCUGUGUGCCAUGUUCAUGGUGCUAAUAUCAGUUUUAGCAGGAACAGCUAGUGGAAUGCCACCUCGAGCACGACUUGAAUUUAGCAUAUUAAAACAAAUUUCUACACUAAAAACAGUAAAUUCCAAAAAUGUUAUUUAGUUUCUGGUUGAGAACAGAAUCAUUUGCUAAGGGACAUUCCGUUUUGAUUUUGCCCAAGAGUUUAGUAAUUUUGUGAUUUUACUUUUAAAAAAAAAUAUGUUAAAUUGUAAUUUUAAAUACAGCACAUUUUGCUUUCCAAACUAUUAUUUAAUGUUCAAAGUUUUUCGUAUAUGAUGAUGAAGCUAGGUUAUAUAUUCGAAAAUCCAAUGCAAGAAAAUCUUAUCCUACAUUAUUAUAUGUCAUUUAGAUGAGCAAAUCCUCUGCAAGAUGAAAAUAUUCAAUAUUUUGUGUGCGAUGUUCAUAGUGCUACUAUCAGUUUUAGCAGGAACAGCUAGUCGACGUCGUCUAGCACCACCACCAGGACGUCUUGGAUUUAACAGAUUAAAACGAGAUGCUAAUGCCAACACUCUAGAUAGAAUGGUAAGGUUUCUGGUAAUUACGUAAAGAAAAAUUAUUCCUUAUAUUGAGUUUUAAAAUAACAACAACUACUACUACUACUACUACUACUACUACUACUACUACUACUACUACAUGUACUACUAUUACUACUACUACUUUUACUACAACAACAACAUAAUGAUAAUAAUAAUAAUAAUAAUAAUAAUAAUAAUAAUAAUAAUAAUAAUAAUAAUAAUAAUAAUAAUAAAUGAUGAAAUAAUAAUGAUAAUAAUAACAACAUAAUCAAUAAUAAUCUUAUUUUUUUCAGGUAAAAAGAGAUUAGUUGGUCUGUGGCACAACAAACUGGAUCUUUCAUCAUUAAAUAAAAGAAGUUGAACUUAAUUUUA